RNAcentral lists this long non-coding RNA (1175 nucleotides) under Scleropages formosus (Asian bonytongue). Its description in RNAcentral is "lncRNA (ENSSFOG00015025761.1)". Lineage: Eukaryota; Metazoa; Chordata; Actinopteri; Osteoglossiformes; Osteoglossidae. The record is from RNAcentral.
AGUCCCACUUGCACCCUUCUCCCCUCCAACAACUACACAGAUGUGGUCCUCUGGUGCUCCUGGGAAGGAGGUUAUCCUCCAGCUUCUCUUUACUGGUCCUCUCCUCUCAUCAGUCCAAAUGGAGUUGAACCGUCCCUCAUCAAUGCCACCCUGGUUCAUCCUGGAUCCAGAACUCCACACAACUCCACCUUCACCUGCCAUGGAUCUCAUGUGGCAUCACCAGCCUCCUACAGCUGCAGCACAACCGCAUUGUUGCCUUCUGGUGAACCCCAGUGCUACACAUAUGCCACACGGAAUAAUGAGUAUCUGAUGCUAUCUUGCUCCUGGGAAGGGGGAUUCCCACGGGCUCUGCUCUGGUGGAGUUUGAAUAAUGGGUCCUUGCUCGGCAGCUCAGAGGAGAAUGCUAACAUCCUCAUCCUCAAGUCCAGUGCCACAUAUAGUGGGAAGGCUUUUGUGUGCCACGCCAAGCACCCACUGUCGUCUGCCAGCAAGAAAUGUGUAUUGAGAUUGGAGGCCCCAGUUCUGGUGACGCAGCGUAGCCUGGUAUCAGUCUAUGAAGGCAAUGAUAUCCAGCUGUCGUGCAUCCUGAAGGCCAACAACCCUGUCACUGAGAUCAUCUGGUUCAACAACCAUAAGAAGCAGGUGGGCAACGCUCCUAGCAAGUAUCUGCUGUACGGCGAGGCCACCUGGUCUAACCUGACGGUCCGAGAGGCAGAUGGAAUGCAGGACAGCGGCCAGUACUGGUGUUCAGCCAGCAAUGCUGUGGGGGGCGCUGAGAUCCCCAUCACAGUUCUCAUCAAGAGAUACCCGGUUCCCCCAAACGUGACCAUCAGUAAGAUCAAAUACAGCAGCCAACAGCGCACAGAAGUAGACUUGCAGUGGGCUGUCAAGGAGACAGGCAACCUGACCGGGUUCAUCGUGGAGCGGUUGAAAACACAAGAACUGCAACUCAAAGUGAAUGACACCUUUUCCUGGGUGCAGCUGGUCACUGGUAUCCAGCCAGAUGUUCGCUACCAUAGACUGGUUGGACUGGACCCCACCUCCAUCUAUGUCUUCCGCAUUCUGGCCAUCAAUCACCGCACCCUGGGAUACCCUUCAGAAGUCAAGACUCCAGGUGAGAUGACUAAGCGGUUGCAAUGAUAUUCACACUUAUUAAAGGAUCACUCAUACAGCAU